AGAAUCAACGCUGGCGGCGUGCCUAACACAUGCAAGUCGAACGAGAAAGGGUAGCAAUACCUGAGUACAGUGGCGCACGGGUGAGUAACACGUGAAUAAUCUACCUCCGAGUGGGGAAUAACUGAGAGAAAUCUUAGCUAAUACCGCAUAAUACCCACGGGUCAAAGCAGCAAUGCGCUUGGAGAGGAGUUCGCGGCAGAUUAGUUAGUUGGCGGGGUAAUGGCCCACCAAGACGAUGAUCUGUAU
Molecule: ribosomal RNA, 246 nt
Filed under: uncultured bacterium
Lineage: Bacteria
Description: partial small subunit ribosomal RNA
Rfam family: Bacterial small subunit ribosomal RNA
Source: RNAcentral